Molecule: non-coding RNA, 110 nt
Filed under: Nocardioides sp.
Lineage: Bacteria; Bacillati; Actinomycetota; Actinomycetes; Propionibacteriales; Nocardioidaceae
Also listed under: 1 other name
Description: TPP sequence
Rfam family: TPP riboswitch aptamer (THI element)
About the family: Vitamin B(1) in its active form thiamin pyrophosphate (TPP) is an essential coenzyme that is synthesised by coupling of pyrimidine and thiazole moieties in bacteria. The previously detected thiamin-regulatory element, thi box was extended, resulting in a new, highly conserved RNA secondary structure, the THI element, which is widely distributed in eubacteria and also occurs in some archaea. Analysis of operon structures identified a large number of new candidate thiamin-regulated genes, mostly transporters, in various prokaryotic organisms.
Source: RNAcentral
GGCGUCCACCACGGGAGCUCGCGGCAGCGAGCUGAGAGGGAGCUGAGCCGCUCCGACCGUCGAACCUGAUCCGGGUCAUGCCGGCGAAGGAAGCGAGGAGCAGCCGUGCU